RNAcentral lists this transfer RNA (63 nucleotides) under Empoascanara defecta. Its description in RNAcentral is "tRNA-Pro". Lineage: Eukaryota; Metazoa; Arthropoda; Insecta; Hemiptera; Cicadellidae. The record is from RNAcentral. RNAcentral also lists the same sequence under 1 other name.
CAGCAUUUAGUUUAUAUAAAAUUUAAAUUUUGGGGAUUUAAGAAGUGGGAUUCACUUUGCUGA